This is an RNA transcript of Penaeus monodon (black tiger shrimp), 2311 nucleotides long. It is a transcript of the gene named protein abrupt-like, with no coding region annotated. Lineage: Eukaryota; Metazoa; Arthropoda; Malacostraca; Decapoda; Penaeidae. The transcript is spliced from 6 exons. The record is from RefSeq and is a predicted model, not a curated record.
CAUACUAGGUGGAUCAUGAUUUUUCAGUGAUGUACAUAAAUUUGUGAAUGAUGAUCAUUCAAUAUACCAUACUGUUCUUAUCAAAUAGUGUGACUGAUGUGAAAUUAAAGUGAAAUUUCUGCGAAUUUAUUAGUGCUAAUAAGUCGCUGGAGGACCGCGCUGGGUACGUUAUAAGGAAACGUCCGAAUUCCCGAUCGUUUUAUAUGACACUGUUACAAAGAUUGAUUACUUACCCUUCGUAUGAAAUGGAAUAUGGACGAAUAUGUAUCAUUAUUGAAUGAGAGUGGUAUAUCAAGUUUUAGAAUAUAUAUUAGAUUUUAGUGGUAUUAUGAUACCGCUUGGAGAUACAGUCAAAGGAUUCAAACGCGGCCCAGCGAAAGACGCCAUGUUUGCUCUGCGCGAGGAAGGAGAGGAAAUGGCUUUCUCGUAAUCUACGCUUCUUGUCGGCGAGAUAAAACUACACCAUGGCGAGUGGUUUGUUGUCGCUGAAGUGGAAUAACCACCGGACAACUUUCUUCCACGUCCUCUCCACUAUCAGGAGCAAGGAGUCUUACUGUGAUGCCACCAUUGCCUGUGAUGGGAAGUUUUACCCAGUCCAUAAACUGGUGUUGUCAACAUGUAGUGAUUAUUUUGAACAGAUGUUUGAAAGGACAAACUGUAAACAUCCUAUUAUAGUGUUGAAAGAUAUUAGACAUGAGGACCUUGAGGCCCUCCUGAACUAUAUGUAUGUAGGUGAAGUGAAUGUGUUACAAAAUGAACUGGCAGGACUAAUAAAAGCUGCAGAAUGCCUAAUGAUAAAAGGAUUAGCAGUGCCUGAUGAAGCCCCAACUAAAGAAUCAAAAAGAAGUUCGGGGAGUGGGAAAGAAGAUAGUCCUAUAGCAAAAAGAAGAAAGAAAGAUGAUGAACCUAGGUUAUCAACCACCUCAGUUAACCAGCAUGUACAAAGAGAAACAAGAGAGUCAUCCAAUGUGACCUCUACUCAAUCCCAAAGACAUUCAGCGAGUGCCUCCAUUCCAACUCCUUCCCCUACAGUGUCCAGAACUGCUCCCCCUCCUAUCUCUCCAUCACCCUCAAUUGGUAGUGUCUCUGAUGCUGUGUCUGAAGACUGUAGCCAAGGCCAGAAUGAAAGUGAUUUACCGGCCCUAUCCAAUGCACAGGAUCCAAAGCACGGUAGUGGUGAGCAAGCAUCUAGUCAAUCGCAACAGGCUGUACCUGAGGUAAUAUUAGAUGAACCUGGUGUCAAAGAAGAACCCCAAGAAGUCGAAGAGGAUAACGGAAAAAAAAAGAGUAAUAGAGCCCCUUUUUUCUUUUGACCCCUAAGGGAAAAGGAUUCUCAAACGGAAGAGGGGUGGGGGUGGAAAUACAGUGGGAACAGGGCCCGGGUUUAUGACCCCAAGAAAGGGGUUCUCAGCCUCAUAAAAGGAAAAAACUAAUCAUUAAUUUAUUUCCAAAUUAAUUACAGAAUUCCGUUUCCCUCUGGGAGGGAGACGGAAGUCUACAAGGCUUUCCUAUGGAAGGCUAUAGUGGAGAUGGUUCUCGGCCACCUCAGAUGGCGAAAGGCAGUGGUGACAAGGAUGUGAGUGGCACUGGAAGACGUCUCCAUCACAGCUACAGACUUCCAACCCACUUACAUUUCUUGGAGGGCACUUCUGCCCAAGCAACGGUAGGGCAGCCCAAUACCAUGGAGAAAAUACUCAAGACAGAAGAUGAGAGUGGACACCCUGAUGCCCAUCCUGCUAUGCGAUCCCUGGCUCCUCUAAAUCUUCAGAUGUACUCAGUAUCCCGGCCAGGUCCUGGUCAUGCUUGCUUCCUUUGUGGCAAAACUUUUGGAUUGAAGCAUAAUCUGUAUCGCCAUCUAAGAACCCACACUGGAGAGAGACCUCAUCAGUGUCCUCACUGUGAAUAUAGAGGAUCUCGCCGUUCCCAUGUGCUGACUCACAUAAACAGAGUUCAUCAACGGCAAGACCAGCCUGAAAAAACAAAUUCAUCUUCAGAAUCUACAAGUGUUUCUCUCCCAACUUCUAGACCAAUAUAAUAUACCUGUAGCUUAUUUUGUACUUCUGACUUUUAAUUUAGAUAUAUUUUAAGAAUGAGUAUAUUGAUAAGUUCAAGUUUUUAAACAGUGAUAGUAAUUAUUCAGAAAUAUCACUUUAGAUUUUCACUGGAGAAUUUGCAUAUAAUUAACAUAAAUGAUAAAAAUCAUUGGCUGGGAUCGAAAGAAAAACUGGUUGUGAUUUGAUGUGCUAAUUAAUUUACAGCAAUUUCCCCUCAUUAGUCUUAGUCAAAAGAAAGGAAGAAGUUUAGGGCAGUU